Long non-coding RNA from Homo sapiens (human), 2314 nucleotides. Ensembl annotates it as ZNF213 antisense RNA 1 (head to head). Its record names the gene ZNF213-AS1. The record is from Ensembl. Lineage: Eukaryota; Metazoa; Chordata; Mammalia; Primates; Hominidae.
UCGCUCUGUCACCCAGGCUGGACUGCAGUGGCGCGAUCUUGGCUCACUGCAACCUCCGCCUCCUGGAUUCAAGCGAUUCUUCUGCCUCAGCCUCCCGAGUAGCUAGGAUUACAGGCAUGUGUCACCACGCCCGGCUAAUUUUGUAUUUUUAGUAGAGACGGGGUUUCUCCGUGUUGGUCAGGCUGGUCUCGAACUCCUGACCUCAGGUGAUCUGCCCGCCUCGGCCUCCCAAAGUGCUGAGAUUACAGACGUGAGCCACCGUGCCUGGCGGAAUUUUCAUAUUUUAAGUCCCCCACCCUUGGACAUUUAGAUUUUUUCCAUCUUUCUGUAUUUGCAGAUAUGCUUCUACGUACACCUUUAUUCAUUUGCUUGAACAUUUCCCUGAGAAAAACUAGAAAUGGAAUUGCCAGAUUACUUUGUGUACAUGUUUCCAAACUGUCCUCCAGAAAGAAUGUAAUGCUUUGAACUUCCACUUGAGAAUCAAAUGUUUACCUUCCUCUGUUCCUCCAGAUUUGGACAUUUACAGUGUUCAGCCGUUGUUGUGGCAUUCCAAUUCAAUUGGGAAACAGCUUGAUGUAGCGUCCCCAUAAGGUCCACAGUAAUUAAAUUUUUUUUUUUUUUUUUUGGUGCGGUAGUGCAAUUUCAUGGCUCACUGCAACCUCCACCUCCCAGGUUCAAGCGAUCCUCCCAUCUCAGCCUCCCUAGUAGCUGGGAUUACAGGUGCACGCCACCACACCAGGCUAAUUUUUGUAUUUUUAGUAGAGAUGGGGUUUCACCAGGUUAGCCAGGCUGGUCUUGAACUCCAGACCUCAAGGGAUCCGCCUGCCUCAGCUUUCCAAAGUGCUGGGAUUACAGGUGGAGACUGGACCUCAGAAGAGGGAGUGGGUGCCCCGAGAACUCACAGCUAGCGGACAGUGGAAAGGGCAGGAGCCGGACCAAGGUGAGGACAGUGGAACUGAAGGCCGCUGGUUACCUCUCCUGCCCUCCGCUGGCCACAGUGGAGAAGACAGCCCCUCCCUCCUGCUCUGACCUGACAGUGUUCAUCCAUCGCCCUGUAUUAGCGAAGAACAACAUCAAGCUGGCUAGCAAGGAACUGUAUACAGGGUCCAGCUGGGUAUCACACUGGAUCUCACCCAAAGCUUAGAUGUGAUCCAGCUCAGUAUCACAAAGCAGAACGAAAAGGAUGUGUUUGGGCUGAGAGGCCAUACAUUGGCUCCGGCAUGACGGGUGACUUCUUCCGAGUCUGGCUUCUGCAGCACACAGGGCUUCGCCAGCACCCAGCUCCUGCAGCAUGGGCAGCUCCUGUGACAGCAGGCGCCCGCAGCCUGCAAAGCGUCUCCAGUGCCGCCGCCUCAGUGAACCUCAACCAGCGGCACCUAGCAGCUUUCUCUGCCACCCUCUUCAGGCACUCCAGAGCCGCGAGCCGCCUCGCACAGCCCGCGCGUUUCUUCUGCUCCCCCGGAAGAGGGCACGGUCUCCUUCCUGGCCGCUCUCUGCCGGCCGUACCGCACGACAGCUGGCAGCACCGUCAGCCCCUGCUCGGGAGCUCGGAAGAUGCUCUAGCUCCGCGGCCAGUGCAGCGAACCCACCCAACCCUGGUGCAGGAGCCAUUGCAGCAAAUUGACAGGGAGUCCUCUGGGCCGGAAGUGGCCCUGGCCCUGCGCCGUAUGCUCUCUAGGACUGCAGGAGGCUCGGCAUCUCGGUGAUAGACCCAGGAAGUCAGUGGCUGGGCGGGGCGGGCUGUGAGGACUGAGGUCUGUAGCGAAGGUCCAGCCCCGUGGUCUUCGCUUCGUUCGGCAACGAACGCCCAGCGAAGGGUAAGACGAAAUGCUUCAAAGACAGGAUCCUGGAGCAGUUGCCGGGGCAACCGUGCGGCUUGGGGCGUGGCGGUGAGGGGAAAAGGGCCGGGCACAAACUUCAGCCGUGAUUGGCUGGUUCUGCUGGAGCCGCCUUUCUCCCCGCCCCGAUGCCUGAAUGGCUAAGGGCAGGGGGGCGUGGCCUCCUGGAUUCAGUCAUGCCGGCGACGGGGCCGCCGAGCGAGAGGCUGGGUCCAUGGGACCCUGCAGGCUCUGGGCUUCGCUACACGGCCGGGCCCGGGAACUGGGAGACGGUGUCCUAGGCUAGGACGGCGCUGAGGCCGACGCCCCCGGCCCAGAGGGGCAGCGCCGACAGCCGAUCCCUGAGCGCUUGCAACAGGAACCUGGGGCCGCAGGGAAGCAGGUGGGAAGCCAGGAUGCAUACAUCCUGCCUCUCCGCCUCCGCCCUCACCGUGCUCCUGACACCGCAUCAGUGAUGAUCUGGUGGAGUUCUCCAG